Molecule: ribosomal RNA, 246 nt
Filed under: Triticum aestivum (bread wheat)
Lineage: Eukaryota; Viridiplantae; Streptophyta; Magnoliopsida; Poales; Poaceae
Description: partial small subunit ribosomal RNA
Source: RNAcentral
AUGCGAGGGCGCUCUCGGCGGCGGGGUGGUGCUGCGCGUCGGAGGCCAGGGCGCUCUCGGCGGCGGGGUGGUGCUGCGCGUCGGAGGCCAGGGCGCUCUCGACGGCGGGGUGGUGCUGCGCGUCAAAGGCGUGGUUGCUCAUGGCGAUGGCGUCGAGGACCUCGCCGGCGUCGGCGUCGGCGUCGGCCAUGGGCACGUCGUCGUCGCUUGACAUGCAAAUGCAGAGAGUGGGUUUGCGUUGGGUAG